CCUACGGGUGGCUGCAGUGGGGAAUAUUGGGCAAUGGGCGCAAGCCUGACCCAGCAACGCCGCGUGAAGGAAGAAGGCUCUCGGGUUGUAAACUUCUUUUAUCAGGGACGAAGCAAGUGACGGUACCUGAUGAAUAAGCCACGGCUAACUACGUGCCAGCAGCCGCGGUAAUACGUCGGUGGCAAGCGUUAUCCGGAUUUACUGGGUGUAAAGGGAGUGUAGGCGGGAAGGCAAGUCAGAUGUGAAAACCAGGGGCUCAACCUGUGGCCUGCAUUUGAAACUGUUUUUCUUGAGUACUGGAGAGGCAGACGGAAUUCCUAGUGUAGCGGUGAAAUGCAUAGAUAUUAGGCAGAACAUCAGUGGCGAAGGCGACUAUCUGGACAGCAACUGACACUGAGGCACGAAAGCGUGGGGAGCAAACAGGAUUAGAUACCCUGGUAGUC
RNAcentral lists this ribosomal RNA (443 nucleotides) under uncultured bacterium. RNAcentral's name for it is "partial 16S ribosomal RNA". It matches the Rfam family "Bacterial small subunit ribosomal RNA", at positions 338 to 795 of the family's 1533-position model. The record is from RNAcentral.